GACUAACGCUGGCGGCGUGCCUAACACAUGCAAGUCGAACGAAGUAGCAAUACUUAGUGGCAAACGGGUGAGUAACACGUAGUCAACCUACCUUUAAGUGGGGGAUAACUAGCCGAGAGGUUAGCUAAUACCGCAUGUGAUCUCCGAGUGGCAUCACUUGGCGAUCAAAGCAGCAAUGCGCUUAGAGACGGGACUGCGUC
This 200-nucleotide ribosomal RNA is filed under the name uncultured bacterium. RNAcentral describes it as "partial 16S ribosomal RNA". It matches the Rfam family "Bacterial small subunit ribosomal RNA", at positions 28 to 237 of the family's 1533-position model. The record is from RNAcentral.